This is a non-coding RNA of Danionella cerebrum, 71 nucleotides long. Lineage: Eukaryota; Metazoa; Chordata; Actinopteri; Cypriniformes; Danionidae. The record is from the annotation of a GenBank genome assembly.
UGUCCUGUGGCUCAGCUGGUAGGGCAUUGCGCUAGCAACGCAAAAGUCGUGGGUUCAAGUCCCAGGGAAAG